CGGACGGGUGAGGAACACGUACGUGACCUGCCCCAAAGCGGGGGAUACCCAUCCGAAAGGAUGGCUAAGACCGCAUGUGGUCUCCAUGCCGCGGUGUGGAGAGUAAAGCCCGGAAGGGCGCUUUGGGAGGGGCGUGCGGCGGAUUAGCUAGCUGGUGGGGUAACGGCCCACCAGGGCGACGAUCCGUAGCUGGUCUGAGAGGACGGCCAGCCACACGGGGACUGAGACACGGCCCCG
This 237-nucleotide ribosomal RNA is filed under the name uncultured bacterium. RNAcentral's name for it is "partial 16S ribosomal RNA". It matches the Rfam family "Bacterial small subunit ribosomal RNA", at positions 99 to 334 of the family's 1533-position model. The record is from RNAcentral.